Molecule: ribosomal RNA, 100 nt
Filed under: Candidatus Falkowella caecavicola
Lineage: Bacteria; Bacillati; Bacillota; Clostridia
Source: RNAcentral
GGUGUUGAUAGCGAUGAGGAUCCACCUGUACCCAUACUGAACACAGAAGUUAAGCUCACUGGCGCCGACAAUAUUCGGCCAGGGACGGCCUGGGAAGAAU